This is a long non-coding RNA of Triticum dicoccoides, 1737 nucleotides long. RefSeq lists it as uncharacterized. Lineage: Eukaryota; Viridiplantae; Streptophyta; Magnoliopsida; Poales; Poaceae. The transcript has 2 exons. The record is from RefSeq and is a predicted model, not a curated record.
GGACUAGUAAUUUUCUAAAGGGCAAAUCCGUCAAUUUCCCUCCAAUCUCACUAAGGCCGAUACAUCUCCUGUUCACCCUCACCGUCGGGUCGGUUCCUCGAUCGUUCCCCUCUCGGUUCGAAGCAGAAGGGUAGGAUAGGGUGGGUUGGCAGAGGGGGUCGGGGAGGAUGGCCGCUUGGGCGAGGAGGCGGAGCCAAUGACCCCGGCGGUGGCGGCGGCGGAGUGGCCCCAGGGGCUGGAGGACCGGCGUCUGUUGCGGACCCGGUUCCUGGCCGUCAAGAGCCAGAUCGAGCGCACGGCGGUGGUAGCCGUCCAGAGGAAGAGGAAGAGCACCCUGCGCCGGUUCGGCGGCCGUGGCGUCACGGAGAGGAGGCGGAGAGAAAGGCCACCGGUGGCCCCGUGAAGGUCGAGGAGGCCGCCGCCUCGUCGUGCUCACCUCGAUCCACUUUUUCUCGCAUGUGUUCGGUGAGGGCAGAGGAAAUAGCAGAGGAUCACGUCGACGUCGACGCCCGGGGGGUCGAAGGGAGGGGCGGCGGCCUGGAAGAGCGCGACGAGCAGCGAAGCAAGUCGGUCGUGGGGCUGGAGCAGCAGCACCACAGCCUCCUCGAGCCCCUGUUCUCAUAUCCUAUCCGUGCGAGCAUGGGAAAUAGCAGAGGAGCACGCACGUGUUGACGUCCGGGGAGUCAGAGGGGAGGCGGCCUACCGGUGGAGCGCGGUGAGCAGUGGAUCCGGUCGGUCGUGGGGCUGAAGCAUCAGCGCCGCCGCUUCCUCCUUUCCUUUAUCAAAGCUGAAGUGGUGUCGUCGACGUCGUCGUUGAUGGUGGCGGUCAUGUUGCCUGGGACGCCGUCAACACGCCGGUGCUGCCGCUGCUGGUGGAACUAUGCAAGUCGCUGCUGGUGCAACACUGCUGCUCAUGGUGCCCAACGUCGUCGGCGUGCAACUCUCCUACCUUCUGCCCACCGGCUCACCCGGCAACGUCGAUGGUUCAACAACAUGGUGAUCACCCGAAUGCCCAUCAAAAUUGUUGGCAUGUGUUGCGGCUCUCAUGGUCCUACUGCCAACGGUGGGCGUCCAAGAGGCACUUGACCGCUGUGGCAUCCCUCGUCCUCAAACUGCGCCGGUUCGGCGGCCGCUCUGGCAUGCACGUCCCAGCGGUAGGUGGGCGAAUUCAGCUGAAGGAGCCGGAGUAUACUUCCCCCUUCUCAGUGCUUUUGAUUACAGUGAUUAGAGUCAGUAGGUAUAUUUCCCCCUUCUCAGUGCUUUUGAUUACAGUGAUUAGAGUCAGUAGGACCCCUCCAACGUGCCAAAGAUUAGCACAUGGAGCUACCGGAGCCGGACGGCCCAACCCCACCGCCAACAGAAAAGCGCACGAUGGUGCAUGGAGUCAUCAUCCAUGUUGGAUCGGUGGAGGAUCACAUCACCACACGUUGUCACAGCUUCACUUUCUGUGUUUUUGAUAAGGUUGAUGGCACCAACCCUUCUCCUUUCAAAGAUGGAGGUCACGGGUUUGCAGGGGGCAGGCUGGAGAUUUUUAGAUUUAAUUGUUUGAAUACGUAUAUUUCAUUUCAUAUUGUGUCAAGUCUUGCGUACUACUCCCUCCGCUCCAUCCGUUUCAAAUUUGUGAACGAAGGGGUGCUUCAUAUGAGCUUCUAUCUAUAAACUUUUGUCCGCAAUCUAUUUGUGAUAACUUCUCUCCAAGGUAGGAGCCACUUUUGUAUGCUUACUUCUCGUGAUUCA